RNAcentral lists this ribosomal RNA (252 nucleotides) under uncultured bacterium. RNAcentral describes it as "partial 16S ribosomal RNA". It matches the Rfam family "Bacterial small subunit ribosomal RNA", at positions 524 to 774 of the family's 1533-position model. The record is from RNAcentral.
UACAGAGGGUGCGAGCGUUGUCCGGAAUCACUGGGCGUAAAGGGCGCGUAGGUGGCGGGGCAAGUGUGUGGUGAAAGCCUGGGGCUCAACCCCAGGUCGGCCAUGCAAACUGCCUUGCUUGAGCGUAGUAGAGGCAGGUGGAAUUCCGGGUGUAGCGGUGGAAUGCGUAGAGAUCCGGAGGAACACCGGUGGCGAAGGCGGCCUGCUGGGCUACUGCUGACACUGAGGCGCGACAGCGUGGGGGAGCAAACA